RNAcentral lists this transfer RNA (73 nucleotides) under Angiostrongylus costaricensis. It matches the Rfam family "tRNA". From Rfam's summary of the family: Transfer RNA (tRNA) molecules are approximately 80 nucleotides in length. Their secondary structure includes four short double-helical elements and three loops (D, anti-codon, and T loops). The record is from Rfam by way of RNAcentral. Lineage: Eukaryota; Metazoa; Nematoda; Chromadorea; Rhabditida; Metastrongylidae.
GUCUCGUUAGCUCAGUUAGUAGAGCACUAGACUUUUAAUCUAACAGUCAGAGGUUGGAGUCCCUUACGGGGCU